This 105-nucleotide small nucleolar RNA is filed under the name Sorghum bicolor (sorghum). Its description in RNAcentral is "Plant small nucleolar RNA R71". It matches the Rfam family "Plant small nucleolar RNA R71". Rfam says of the family: R71 is a member of the C/D box family of snoRNAs containing the C (UGAUGA) and D (CUGA) box motifs. Multiple nearly identical copies of this snoRNA have been identified in Arabidopsis, and it is thought to function as a 2'-O-ribose methylation guide for 18S ribosomal RNA. The record is from Rfam by way of RNAcentral. Lineage: Eukaryota; Viridiplantae; Streptophyta; Magnoliopsida; Poales; Poaceae.
AUUCCAUGAUGCGGGCGGUCUGAUAUGUAUUCUUGAAAACACUCCCAUGCUUCAAUAGGUUCACCUUUCUGCUGAUGAAAUUCUAAAAUCUUCCCUCGUAAGAUA